This is a non-coding RNA of Streptomyces sp. MP131-18, 75 nucleotides long. It matches the Rfam family "ASpks TB sRNA". The record is from Rfam. Lineage: Bacteria; Bacillati; Actinomycetota; Actinomycetes; Kitasatosporales; Streptomycetaceae.
CUUCAACGACCCCAGCCACAACGGCCGUUCCGCCGAACGGUCCUGACCAUAGGUGGCAAUCAACGCCUGCGCCUC